UGUACCCUAAUGCAUAAAUCUCAUCGUAAACGAUCAUUUAAUCUCGACCAACCGGAUGUAGAACCCGAACUAAAGUUAUCACGGAUCGGAAACACCGUAAAGAUUCAGAAAUAAUGUCAUGUCGGACAGAAAGGUUCUACUAUGUAUGGAGCGUAGAGAGAGGAAACGAGGGACGUUUCUCGCAAUCUUCCAGUUAGGAGAGCGGACGUGAGUACACGAGCUCCUCUUUCGUACUUGGCAUGAAUGGAGAACGCGGCCGCAUGAAUGGACCGCCGAUAGACGCGCGAGACGAAAAGCAGGCUGCGCGUCAGAAUGUGACAUACAGAGAGAGAGAGAGAGAGAGAGAGAGAGAGGGGGGGGGGGAGAAGGAAAGAAUGAAAAUUGAAAGAUGGACAAGGGGCUGCUAGAGGAAUCGGCAGGAGGGAGAGGGACGUAGGUGACAUUGAACCGAAUGCAUUGAACAAGACGAGCGUUAUGGAACUAAUGACAGGAUGCGUGUCCCUCGCGUUCGUUACGCGCGCACAUUCGCGCGUUUUCUCCGCAUGAUCGCGUCUUCUUCUUCGUUCUACGCUUUGUUCUUCGCGUUUCUUCACGAAUGAACGCGUGUCGUACUCGCGUGUUCUUCAACGAAUGUUAGGAAUAGAUGGAAAGGUGCUCAGAGCAUCUGAGAUUUCAUUGGACAAUUAUUUGUUCCAAUAGAGAAACUUUGAAUAUUUUGGUUACUUGAAGAUUUUCAGUGAGAAGGCUUCGAAUUAAUUAUUUGAAGAUUUUUAAUAAUAGAAGCUUUGAGUUGAUUAUUCGAAGAUCUUCAAUAUGGGAAUUGACUUCGAGAUGGAUAAAUAGAUAAAUAAUAAUUGAGAAAUUAUUUGUUAAUUGCCGUGAAAUAAAAGGAGAACGAAAGAGAAUGAACGUUGUUGCGUGCAUCGCGAACGGAAAGUGAAACAUGGGUGUAACUUCCGCAAUAGGUGGAAACGGAAGGCGAGAGAGGACAUUGUUUGGUUGGAUGGAAAUCGAGUCGUUGCAACGAUCAAGAUACGCCUCGAAAAAAAGCAGAACAUUGUUCAUCUGUCGUAUCGCGAACCAUGAAAGCACUAAAAGUAUGUAUAUACAUUCCCAACCAUAAGUUCUAACUAUUUUGUUAUAAAUCUGUUAUUUAUAGACUGUAUCUGUAUGUACACGUUGUUAUUAUACGAGCUUAUGACCAGUAGUAUGCCUAUAUAAACCUACAUGCGUAUAAUCGAACUCGCUUAAGUCUAAUUAUAAAACGUCGACCACUAUCAGGAAGCUCAUCGUCGUGUAAAUCGAUUCCGCUGCGCACAUCGGUAUCGUAUGGUCGUUACGAAGCCUUUGACGAGCAUCGAGGUACAUAAGUAGAUACGGCAGAGUGGGCAGACACGAAACCAGAGACUAUCGUCGCGGUGUCGCGUGGACACGAUUUGCUUCGCGAGUGCAGUUUGCGAUCAAGCGAAACGCAAAACGCUGACGAAACUAAACGCAAAACGCUAAGGAAAUUAAACGCGCGCAUAUACAAGCGUUAAACUGGUCCGCGAGCUAUGUAACGGAAUAAAAAAGAAAAAAAAAAAGAAGGAAAAAUCAAGCACGAUGGCAUUCUUUCGAUUCCACACCAGUGUAGAGCGACCUUCCGUUCAGGAGGCUCGAGCUUGCGUCCAAUCAAGCGGGUAAUUUAUACAGAGAGGAAGCUGUUCCCGUUGCAUGUACAGCCAGAAAUGCUCGAGCGCGAACGUUCCAUCGUAAAAAUCGAAACUGCUGCAACAAUGGCAGCGAACAAGUCCGAGGGAACGGUUCUAUGUCCAUAUUUGUAAAACGACGAUGCUCGAGGAUCGCUUUUAAGAAGAGACGAGAAACUGUUCGUUCACGAAGAGAAAAAGCGGUUGCCGCGUUAUCUGAAACACAGACACGCCUUCUGGAGAACGCAACCAACGUGGAAUGCGCGCUGAGAAGGUGAACGCAAAAGUCAGAGAGGGAAAACGGGAGGAUAAAGGGGGAAAAACUGGGCGACAGCCGCGACCUGGGCGAGGAAAGAGGCGGCUGAACGGUCCAGUUUUUACGAUACUAGCGCGCCACUUCGCUCUUGGCGUUCGCCAAUUGGUCAACACGCAGGAGGUGAACCGUUCCGUUCUGUUAUUACGCUCGUGCUCAACUUUAAUUUUGAAUUUUCGUCGUACGAUUCAAUUUGAAAAAUCGUUCUUAUACACACAUGUAGGUUUCAUAGAGCGAACAAAGAUGGAGUAUUCUCCAUGUAGGAAAGAGGUGAACGUUCAGAGGCGGCUCGUUGAAGACGAGAAGCGAAAUUAAGGGGCAAGUAUACAUUAGCAAGUCGCAUAAUCGACAUUAAUAACAAUCGUCCAGGCCUGAUCAUGUUGCAAGCGGACGUAAUGGGCCGCAAUAAAGUUAAUUGCAAAUUACUUUGCGAGUCACGGACGUGGAGGUAACGUUUGCACGCAUAUAUAGGUGUAUACAUAUACAUAUAUAUAUAUAUGUAUAUAUAUUUUGAACGUACGCGCUCGGCAUUUCGGCUAAUUGCAAUUCGGUCAGAUUGUCAUUUGAUAGGGUAGUACAGGAGAGAGGAAGAUGAAAAAGAAGUGGAAGAUAGGAAGGGGAGGAUCUGAAGUGCCGCAAGAAAAUUAAAGUCACGAUCUCGCGAGGGAUGCAAACACGACGGAGGGAUAGGUCGACGGAGAGGAAAUGCCUGUGAAAGAUGAUGGACACCCAUUACCUUAUCAAGAUCAUCAGAGAUGUAAUAAUGGUACGACGCUUACAAAGAAGACGGGGUCCAUUGAAGUGGUUCACCGCUUCAAUGCUUUCUGCUCCUUCUCUCUCUUUCUCUGAGCUCGACUCUAUUCUGCGCAACACGGCAUUUAUUAUAUCGGCUCUAUCCUUUUCGCGAUUGUCGAUCUAAUCUGCGCACAUUGAAUCUCAACUGGACGGAGAAUGCGUCGCAGUACUCGCAGUUAACGCGAUCGCGCAGGAAUGCCGGUUGUUGCCUCUAAUCGGCUCUGAAAGAGGGGUUCCGCUGCCAUUUCUCGACGUUGUUUCAAUUACCAUUUUAAACACUCUUUCGUUCUAAUUUUAUUCGUAUGAGAAUCACGGUAGGGAAAUUAUGCUGUUUCGAAGGAGAAUACCGGAGACUUUUUUUUAAAGUACCGGAUACUAAGAAAAUGUUUAAAUUGAACGCUGUUUCGAGGAAGAAUACUGUUUAAUUUGUUUGAAAGUAGCCAAAAAACCGAGUAUGGAUGUUUAUAGUAUUUUAAAUCUUCUAGAUUUAAAGUAUGGAAUGCUAUUUCUACGUUUCGUGAAUUUAAGUGAUAUAAUAAUUCUUCCAAUUGAUAGCAUCGGAAAUAUUCACAAUUUUGAAGAGUGUCAACGAUAUCAGAGUUUCUCUGAAUUUCUAGCAGCACAAGAUGGAGAACUGUUUUCAACUUCUAGAUUUUUCAAAUAAAGAGCACGAAACUAUGAUUCUCUAAGUAAAAACACGAAACUACGAUUUUUUGAAUAAAAAUCACGAAACUACGAGCGUCCACGGGAUAAAAUAGUAAUUUUUGUAUAACCCGUUUAAAAGAAAACCGUCAAAUAAAUUACAUAAACGUUACCACGAUACCAGAAACUCGACACUUUCUACCUUUUAACGUUUGUGAAAACAAAAUCUACUAUAUAUACGUAUAAUUUUCGAACAUUUCCAUACAUUUAAUCGUCGAAUUUAUGCGUACAUAAAUUCGUUCUAUUACGAACGAGAGUUAAAAGUGGAAAUACAGGGAAUAGAUCGUAAAAAAUACGAGCGAUAGACGGUUCUGAGAGAAGAUUCCUGGCAAAUUAGAGGAUCCUCGGUUGGCUUGUUCGCGCCUUGUGUGUCACAGCCUUGCUGACGUGCAGAUUAAGUAGAUUAGCGACGGGUUAAUUAGCCGCGGGGAAAUCUUCGCGGGUCUAUGGAGCAGAGAGGACGGAAAAAGGGUACGGUUGCGAGAGGAGGACAAAAAUUACGCAAACGCGCGGUCAUACGUUGCGAAAUAUACGCAAAUUGUAUGUUCCGACGAUUAUUCCAUUUAGCGUUUCCCUCGCUUUAAUCAUUGGGUUCGAAGACAGCCAUUUCGCGAGACGCGAUGGAGCUCUACCUGCGUACCGUGGUCGCUGAUAUUCUGAUCCUUCUAGACACGUUUAAAUACCAUGAAAAAUCUUACAAUUCUUCGUUUCUCGUCGCAACGAAAUUUCUAUCGAGAGUUUAAAAUUUUUGUUUAUUCGUAGAUGAAAAAAAAAGAAGAAUACACGCGCGAUGACAUCUGGCUAACCCCGAAAAUUUUGUAAUUCUAUAAAAUUCGAAGAAAGGAGCGGAG
Bombus huntii is the source of this 4349-nucleotide long non-coding RNA. RefSeq lists it as uncharacterized. The record is from RefSeq and is a predicted model, not a curated record. NCBI's taxonomy places the organism in Eukaryota, Metazoa, Arthropoda, Insecta, Hymenoptera, Apidae. The transcript has 2 exons.